Non-coding RNA from Acanthosepion pharaonis, 114 nucleotides. The record is from the annotation of a GenBank genome assembly. NCBI's taxonomy places the organism in Eukaryota, Metazoa, Mollusca, Cephalopoda, Sepiida, Sepiidae.
UUACGACCAUAUCACGUUGGAACAGCGAUUCUCGUUCGAUCACAGAAGUUAAGCAACGUCUAUCCCGGUCAGUACCUAGAUGGGUGACCGCUUGAGAAUACCUGGGACUGUAAG